UUGGGGAGCGGAGCAGAUAUUCCUCUCACAGGUUAUGGAUUAAGGAGUCAGCAGAUGUGCUCAUGCUGCUGAGCACACCUGAUGAAGGCCUCUGCCUCUCCACAAAGUGCCUGGGAGGGCCCAGUCCCCUGGGUCUGAUGUUCUCUGCAGCGAGGUGUCCUGGACACUCAUAGUGUCCCCCUGCUGCUCUUGGAGGCUGCUCCAGCCCAUGCAAUUGAGUGCCAUGCUGGGAUGAUGAGGAGCAACCUCCGUGUUGGUAGAAGAGGAGUGAACAAGUCAGCAAAAGACAGAGGAAGGCGCUGGGGGAAAGAGACAGAGGUUGGAGCAGGUGUGCUGCUCUGGUGAUAAGGAGCUGACUCACUUGGUGAUGCCGGGUGUGCCUUGAGAGCACGCCUGCCCUCCUGGAGGUCCGCACUAGGAUCCUGCACCCGCCUGCUGCACAGACCUAGUCUGAGUGCUGCAUCACUUGGGCCCAGCUGCCAUGGUGGUCUCUGUAUCCUCCCAACACCCCAGCGGGGACCGCAGAGCCCACCCAGCCCUCACAGGCCUGUCUAUGGGGCGGGCCACUCCUCUGUGGGAGCUCCCGUGACAGCCUCCAGCAGGCACAGACAGUAACCACAGAUGAUCUAAGACACGCUUGGCAUCGCUCCCAAGUCAGCCCAGGAGCUGCAUGCCUGUGUGGCAUCCAGCCUCCCCCAGGACCACCCGGGCUUAGAGGCUGACUUAUGGCCUUGCGAGUGUGAUGAGCGCUUGCUCCUUCCCAGGAGCUUGAGAGACAGCAUCAGAUCCAGGUGGGAGAGACACCGAGAGGUCCCUGCUCCGGCGCAGGCCGGUAUGAGGAGGUGGAGCUGGGCUUGAAGCUUCCCACAGCGCUCCCAGCGCACCUCCCGCAGAGCAGUGCACGGCGGUAGGACCGGGUGGGAACAAAUCACCUCUGGAGACGAGGUGGGACAAGUCCCUUCCCUUUCUGUACUGUUAAUCCGCAUGCAGGGACUCCAAGUGGACCGCGGGCGGGGGCAGCUCUGGCUGGAGAGGCAGCUGAGCUCCCGGAGUCUGGGGCCAUUGAGGCUGCAUGAAGGAUCACUUUCCGCAUGGGUGGUGAGAAUCCAUGCCGGCUGAAUUGCAGUGAGUCGCCGUGAGUAAACGCGAACUUGUAUGCGUCUG
This is a long non-coding RNA of Chinchilla lanigera (long-tailed chinchilla), 1164 nucleotides long. RefSeq lists it as uncharacterized. The transcript has 3 exons. The record is from RefSeq and is a predicted model, not a curated record. Lineage: Eukaryota; Metazoa; Chordata; Mammalia; Rodentia; Chinchillidae.